RNAcentral lists this ribosomal RNA (254 nucleotides) under uncultured bacterium. RNAcentral describes it as "partial 16S ribosomal RNA". It matches the Rfam family "Bacterial small subunit ribosomal RNA", at positions 524 to 776 of the family's 1533-position model. The record is from RNAcentral.
UACGGGGGGAGCAAGCGUUGUUCGGAUUUACUGGGCGUAAAGGGCGCGUAGGCGGCCAGCACAAGUCAGUUGUGAAAUCUCCGAGCUUAACUCGGAAAGGUCAGCUGAUACUGUGCGGCUAGAGUGCGGAAGGGGCAACUGGAAUUCUUGGUGUAGCGGUGAAAUGCGCAGAUAUCGGGAAGAACACCCGUGGCGAAGGCGGCUCUCUGGGACGGUACUGACGCUGAGACGCGAAAGCGUGGGGAGCGAACAGG